RNAcentral lists this long non-coding RNA (959 nucleotides) under Parus major (Great Tit). RNAcentral describes it as "lncRNA (ENSPMJG00000006498.1)". The record is from RNAcentral. Lineage: Eukaryota; Metazoa; Chordata; Aves; Passeriformes; Paridae.
CUGGUGACCUGGAGUUUUGGAUGGGCAUUGGCUGGAAAAUUUUUCCUUACAGAGAUUGUUUUCUUGUUUCAUAAUAGGAGAAGUUUAACCCUUCUAGGAAAGGACAACUGGGGCCUCGUUUCUCUGAUACUGCCAAUAAUAACAGUUACUGGUUGCUUGUCCAAACAUUCUUUCAACACAAAUGACAUUUUGUACAGCAUAUAUUUUUUUUCCAGAAAUAUUUAAAUUGUUUUCUAAAUGCAGUGGAAAUUUUGAUAUGGAUUUAAUGGUUGUGGAAACAGGCCCUUGAGGGGAAAAUUCAAUAUGUUCUCCUCUGAUUUUCUUUUCAUCUUCUUGCUCUUGUUAUCUUAAUUUCAGUGGAUAUUUCCUGUGCAAGGAUGGAGUUACUGUCCUGUCCUCAGAACCUCUGGUGGCCCUUCCUCUUUUUGACAUGGCUGCAGCCACUCUGCUGUGCCAGCACACAGAGAAGGGAUGUGACACCCUUUUUCCAGAGUGAUAACUGUGGUUUAAAAGAAGCCAGCGCUGCGAGGAGAGCGGAGGGCGGAUCCGAGAUAAGGACCCGUGGGCAGUGAAGCUGCUGAAAUGAUGGUUCAGGCUGGUGCCAGACGUGACAGAGAGCAGGGUCUGAAGCUCAUCUCCACUUGUUCUGAGUGAAACCCUUCAGCCAGAGUGCCAGAGUGAGUUCUCACCUCCGGGGACAGCUGAGUGUGGUCCCCAAAGCUGUCAUCAGGUGUGGCCAGCAGGCCAGGAGAAGGUUUUCAAGGCAUUGCUGGAGGUGCUGGCUCUAAGCACAGGGUAGCACAAGAUGUUUGCUCUGUGCUGCUGCUGCAAGUUAUGUUUAGCCUCUUGGAAAUAUUCCCAGCCCACCAGGAGUCAUUUCUGACUAACAGGCACCCCUUAAUCUGUCUCUAAUCCCCCCCUAUAAUUUUACACCUCUUUAGCCUCAUCCAAAUAAAAAC